UUAGCAAUUCUAAGGUGAGCCAGAUAUUUCCCUCAGGGAGGUGUAGAGACCAAAAACAGAGUUAAAAGGAAAAUGAAUGUUGGACUUACAUUCAUCUGGUGGCCACAAAAU
Etheostoma spectabile (orangethroat darter) is the source of this 111-nucleotide long non-coding RNA. RefSeq lists it as uncharacterized. NCBI's taxonomy places the organism in Eukaryota, Metazoa, Chordata, Actinopteri, Perciformes, Percidae. The transcript is spliced from 3 exons. The record is from RefSeq and is a predicted model, not a curated record.